CCUACGGGAGGCAGCAGUGAGGAAUAUUGGACAAUGGCCGGGAGGCUGAACCAGCCAAGUCGCGUGAGGGAAGACGGCCCUACGGGUUGUAAACCUCUUUUGUCAGGGAGCAAGGUGCAGGUCGGGACCUGCUGUGAGAGUACCUGAAGAUAAAGCAUCGGCUAACUCCGUUCCAGAAGCCGCGGGAAAAUGGGGGAUGCGAGCGUUACAUGGAUGUGUUGGGGUGAAAGGGGGCGCGGGCGGAGGCACAGGUUAGCGGUAAAAUCGCGGGGCUAAACCCCGCUCCGCCGUUGAAACUGGGGAGCUAGAGUGUGCGAGAGGUAUGCGGAAUGCGUGGUGUAGCAGUGAAAUGCAUAGAUAUCACGCAGAACCCCGAUUGCGAAGGCAGCAUACCGGUGCACAACUGACGCUCAGGCACGAAAGCGUGGGUAUCGAACAGGAUUAGAUACCCCUGUAGUC
This 459-nucleotide ribosomal RNA is filed under the name uncultured bacterium. Its description in RNAcentral is "partial 16S ribosomal RNA". It matches the Rfam family "Bacterial small subunit ribosomal RNA", at positions 338 to 795 of the family's 1533-position model. The record is from RNAcentral.